Molecule: ribosomal RNA, 346 nt
Filed under: uncultured eukaryote
Lineage: Eukaryota
Description: SSU rRNA
Rfam family: Eukaryotic small subunit ribosomal RNA
Source: RNAcentral
AUAGCGUAUAUUAAAGUUGUUGCAGUUAAAAAGCUCGUAGUUGAAUUUCGGGAUCAAUACGUCGGUCGUGCUUCGGUACGUACUGGCGUAAUUGAUUUCUCCCUUCUGACGAACCAUGAUGUCAUUAACUUGGUGUCAUGGGAAAUCAGGACUGUUACUUUGAAAAAAUUAGAGUGUUUAAAGCAGGCUCACGCUUGAAUACAUUAGCAUGGAAUAAUGAAAUAGGACGUUCGAUCCUAUUUUGUUGGUUUUUAGGAUCAACGUAAUGAUUAAUAGGGAUAGUUGGGGGCAUUAGUAUUCAAUUGUCAGAGGUGAAAUUCUUGGAUUUACUGAAGACUAACUACUG